This 320-nucleotide ribosomal RNA is filed under the name uncultured Prevotella sp. RNAcentral describes it as "partial 16S ribosomal RNA". Lineage: Bacteria; Pseudomonadati; Bacteroidota; Bacteroidia; Bacteroidales; Prevotellaceae. The record is from RNAcentral.
GGAGUUUGGUCCGUGUCUCAGUACCAAUGUGGGGGACCUUCCUCUCAGAACCCCUACUGAUCGUCGGCUAGGUGGGCCGUUACCCCGCCUACAACCUAAUCAGACGCAUUCCCAUCCUAUAGCGGUAAACCUUUGCUUCUCGUCAGAUGCCAUCAAAGAAGAACAUAGAGCAUUAAUUCGACUUUCGCCGGGCUAUUCUCUACUAUAGGGAAGGUUGGAUACGCGUUACUCACCCGUGCGCCGGUCGCCAGCAAGAUUAGCAAGCUAAUCUCCUGCUGCCCCUCGACUUGCAUGUGUUAAGCCUGUAGCUAGCGUUCAUC